UUGCACGCUUGAUUUGUGCCUCGAGCGUGUCUGGUUGUAUUAGCGCUUGGUAAAAAAGCAAUGCCGUCAUGUCAUGACCAAGAUGUCUGCAACGCGAAGAGACGAGCGGUUGUUUUAGUGCACAACUAUGGUUGUUUAUAGAAGAGUGGCCCAUUGAAGGGUCCUUAAGGGUUAAUAAAUGAUGAUGAAUAGCCAUUUGUUUACAGAAAAUUAGCUAGGUGGAGGAAGGUUAACCCCUUAAGUUUAGGCACUAAUUGUUUGGUUCCGUUGAAAAUGUUCCACCACAUUUCUUGCAUCAGAAGCGUAAAAAAGUAUACAACUGCAGAAUAUAUUACGAGUUUUCGAUUCUCCAGUGUGCAUUUCAGUGAAUUUGGCAGUGUAGUCUCCGUACAAGCUUCUACAGAAACGCAAGAUAUGGUGAACCUGCUAAAUGACAAACACUGACAGCAAACACCCAGCAUUAAGCGAGAUCACGUUGCACUUAUUAUUCAAACUUUCAGCACAGGUCCAAUCAGGAGUGUUUCAGGAUGUAUGCAACAUGUUCUAAAUAUUUUCAUAUGUGCUUUUGAAUCACUCAUCUUGGUGCAGAGCCUGAGGGGGUGUAAAUCUAGGGAAAAAUUGUCUACUUAGGAAGGGGGGUAGAGCAUAAAGCUACAAAGAAAGCCCAUACAGGUUCUGAGAAAAAGCUUUGUACUUGAAAAAUACAUCCUGGUCUGGACAUUGAACCUGGCACCAUUGCUUCACCGGGCAAAUUGCUCUGCCAUCCGAGUUACCCUAAUGUGCGAUUUUUGUGUAGCUGAAGUGGAAAGGGGCAUCUUGAAUUAAAGCAUGCUUCAAUGCUGUGGUUAUGGCCCCACUUGGAUGACCAGAAAGUGUGUUGCCAUAUUACGUUGUUACUGCAGUCAAAGUACAUUUCCCAAUCAGCAGCCACUAACCCAAAGUUUUCUAAGAAACUUGAGGCAAUAAAAAUAAAGUCCUUACUUUAAAAGUAUGCAGGCUGGUAUUCAACAUUAUUUCCACCUUUUCCAUUUUUGAGAGAGCAUGAUGCAUUUAACUAUACUGUAGUUCUGGUUAGUUAAUGCAAACAAAGGUUUGACACUGACAGUGUUGCUGUCUUCAAAACAA
Molecule: long non-coding RNA, 1125 nt
Organism: Dermacentor silvarum
Lineage: Eukaryota; Metazoa; Arthropoda; Arachnida; Ixodida; Ixodidae
Exons: 2
Source: RefSeq, a predicted model, not a curated record